CAAAUUUCUUAUUGUUUGUUGUCACAAAUUGUAUAAAAAGAACAAGAGCAAACAUUUUUUGGGGGCUUCACAAACAAAUAGGGAUCUGGAGGUGGUAAUCUAGGCAAGGUAGUUGGUGCAUACAUACCUAAGGUAAUGGAUGGUGCUAUGGUUUGAAUAUUUAUCUCCUCCAAAGCUCAUGUGGAAACCAAAUCCCCAGUGUGGCAGAAUUAAGAGGUGUGGCUUCUAAGAGGUGAUUGGAUUAUGGAUUCGUGGACUAAUGGAUUAAUGGGUUGAUGUGUUACUAUGAGGGUGGCACUGGUGGCUCUAUUUAUUUAUUCAUUUAUUUAGACAGAGUCUCGCUAUGUCACCCAGGCUGGAGCGCAGUGCCAUGAUCUUGGCUCGAUGCAACCUCCACCUCCAGGGUUCAAGCGAUUCUCCUGCCUCAGCCUCCUGAGUAGCUGGGAUUACAGGCUUGAGCCACCACAGUCAGCUAAUUUGUUUGUAUUCUCAGUAGAGACAGGGUUUCACUAUGUUGGCCAGGAUGGUCUCAAACUCCUGACCUGAAGUGAUCCACCCACCUUGGCCUCCCAAAAUGCUGGGAUUACAGGUGUGAGCCAACUGGUGGCUUUAUAAGAAGAGGAAGACAGACCUGAGUUGGCAUGCUUGGUGCCCUCGCCCUGUGAUGCUUUGCACCACCUUAGGGCCCUGCAGAGUCCCCACCAGCAAGAAGGCCCUCAGCAGAUGAGGCCUCUCGACCUUGCCGUUCUCAGCCUCCAGAACUGUAAGGAAUAAAUUCCUUUUCUUUAUAAAUUACCCAGUUUCAGAUAUUCUGUUGUAAGCAACAGAAAACAGACUAAAACAGACAGAUGGCAGGUGGGUCUCAGGGGCAGACACACGGGUCUCCACUGGCCACACACUUCAGGUCCCAAAUAGAGAGGCAGAAAAGGCCAGGUGUGGUGGCUCAUGCCUAUAAUUCCAGUGAUGUGGGAGGGCUAGCAGGGAAGAUCGUUUGAACCCAGAAGUUAGAGGCUGCAGUGAGCUAGGACCUCACCACGGCACUCCAGCCUGGGUGAUAGUGUAUGUCUCUCUUAAAAAAAAAAAAAAAAAAGGAGAAGGGAAGGGGAAGGUUCAAGACAGUGGAGGCACGAGGAGCCCCAGAACUCUGUUGGGGAGACACUAAUUCGUGCACCUGCCAUCCUCCCCCAGGACCCAAAGGACCCGGGUCUGUCAUCUUCCUCGGGGCCUCCUGGAGCUGGUGCAGCCAGUGGUGGAGGCGGCCCCGGGGCCUGGGCCUUGCUGAGGCUGGAUCUGUGAGCAGAGGAGGGCGGUGUGUGAGGCGGGGCCUGGGCCACCACAGGGGAAGGAUGCUGCUCAGAGCCCACAGACCUGGGUGCCCGGGCCCCGAGGACUCACACUGGCCCCAAGCUGGGAGAGGAUGUUGUGGAGGGUGUGAAGGAGCUGGUCCAGGACAUCCCCCAGGGCCGGAUCAGCAUCAGCGGUGACCUCCAGGACCUUCAGUGUCAGGGCCAGCUCAGCCUCCAAAGUCCCAGGUCCUGGGGAAGAGGCGGGA
Molecule: long non-coding RNA, 1552 nt
Filed under: Homo sapiens (human)
Lineage: Eukaryota; Metazoa; Chordata; Mammalia; Primates; Hominidae
Description: HSALNT0259697
Source: RNAcentral